RNAcentral lists this ribosomal RNA (425 nucleotides) under uncultured bacterium. RNAcentral describes it as "bacterial SSU rRNA". It matches the Rfam family "Bacterial small subunit ribosomal RNA", at positions 356 to 773 of the family's 1533-position model. The record is from RNAcentral.
GGGGAAUUUUGGACAAUGGGCGCAAGCCUGAUCCAGCCAUUCCGCGUGCAGGAUGAAGGCCUUCGGGUUGUAAACUGCUUUUGUACGGAACGAAACGGUCUGCCCUAAUACGGUGGGCUAAUGACGGUACCGUAAGAAUAAGCACCGGCUAACUACGUGCCAGCAGCCGCGGUAAUACGUAGGGUGCAAGCGUUAAUCGGAAUUACUGGGCGUAAAGCGUGCGCAGGCGGUUAUAUAAGACAGAUGUGAAAUCCCCGGGCUCAACCUGGGAACUGCAUUUGUGACUGUAUGGCUAGAGUACGGCAGAGGGGGAUGGAAUUCCGCGUGUAGCAGUGAAAUGCGUAGAUAUGCGGAGGAACACCGAUGGCGAAGGCAAUCCCCUGGGCCUGUACUGACGCUCAUGCACGAAAGCGUGGGGAGCAAAC